UCUGUGACACAGGUAAAUCAGGUUUUACCAAAAUUAAAAAUAGAUUUUCAAAUAAAUUCAAUAUUUUGUCAUACUGGAUACUAACAUUAGCGAUAAGGUCUUACAAGUAACGGAACAAUUCAUAUUGCAACAUGGAACGACAACAUUGGUGCUCAACUUGUCUUAUUCCUUUUGAGAAUAAGUACAGUUUAAGAGGUCAUCGUUAUAUCCAUGCAAAACAACCACGCGUUCCUUGUAGUAUAUGUCCGUUAACAUUUGCGCAUUAUAGUCAAUUAGGAAAACAUCUCAGAUAUAUGCAUUCAGAUUAUAUCAUCAACACGUUUGUUGAACAUGCUGAGAGUAUUUAUAGAAAAAAUAUAACAGGCAUCACACCUUGGAUAGAAUCUGAUUCUGAAUGGGCAGACAGUUCCGAAGAAGAGACUAUAACGAGCAGUGAGGAAGAAGAUAUUUCGGAGGAUACAGAUUCUGAAAAUGUGGAAGAGACCGUUGAAAACAUUUCGAAUGAAACACAAUACAUCUUAGCAACACAUGUGAAUGAUGUUUCUGACAAUAAAAAUCAUGUAGGCGAAUUCGAUUCGAAAGGAGUCAAUACUAAACAUAUGAAUAAUUUAGUUGGACAUACUAGAAAUGUAAAGAGUUGUGGUGUUUCAUUUCUUGUCGAAUUAGAAAGGAGAAAAGCAGAUAUACAUCAUUUGAAUAUCACAAGAAACAUUUCUAAUUCAAAAGAUAAUUCUAAACGACACAUAUUACAGCAGCAUAUGGAGUCGGAGUUCCUCAGUACAGAUUACAGAGUGUCUUUUCAACGUCCUCGUGAUGAAAACACAGACCCUGAUUUAAGGGAUGAAGAUCCACCUGGAAAGACUGUACUACAAACGGAACAAAAUACACAGGCUAAUUAGAUUCGGACGUUUUUACUUUACUUGUGUUCCAUAACGGUAUUUCUGUGAUUUUGUUCACAUAACCUGAUAUAGCAUGUGCUGUUCGCAAAGGAUUUUAUCAUAUACUUAAAUAAAAAUAAAAGUUCCAGAGUAUAAUACAACCAUUACGAAACGGAUGACACUUCACAUAACAUGAUGCAAACCCCAUGGGCUGACUUGGAUAUAGAAGAGACAGAGCAAUUUGAUUAUAAGGAAAUGAUACCUAUGAUAGGCCAAGAAGGGGUUAGCGAUGAAGAAGAAUUAAUAAACAUAAAUGA
Mytilus trossulus (common blue mussel) is the source of this 1195-nucleotide RNA transcript. RefSeq lists it as uncharacterized. Lineage: Eukaryota; Metazoa; Mollusca; Bivalvia; Mytilida; Mytilidae. The transcript is spliced from 5 exons. The record is from RefSeq and is a predicted model, not a curated record.